UGAAAACCCUCCAUCUUCCUGUCGCCGACGUCCGGGUGUGGGCGCCGCGCGUUGAUGCUGGUGGCUUCCAUCCUUGGUUCUUCUCCUUCCGCCACCGGUGCGCGCUCGCGCAAGUUUCCAUUUGCUGCUGCUGCUGCUGCUGCGGGUCGACCUGUGGGGGGUUAGAAUCGGCGAACUCUUCUGUUCCCCUUCCUUUGUUCUGCCUCUCUGUCUAUAAUGCUUCUUUCUCCUUUCCUUUGUUGCGUUGGUAUAUUUACUGUGUGAGUGGGGCACAGAGGACGGAGUUUUAAGCAAGCUGAAUUUGAAGUUUACCGAGCUCUUUUGAUAGAGCUCGACUGGGGAAAGGUCCUCCUCACAAGAUGUCUAGAGUAGAGGAAGACGAAGACGCGGAGAAGCGUCAUCAAUUGAAGCUUGAAGAAGCCCUAGAAAUCAAAUCGCUCAGGCGUAUAAUCAGUGCUUACCUCAACUAUCCUGAUGCUUCUGAAGAGGAUGUCAGAAGAUAUGAAAGAUCUUUCAGGAAACUUCCACCUGCACACAAGGCUUUAUUAUCUCAUUAUCCUCAGAAGAUUCAAAGGUUGCGCCGGU
Long non-coding RNA from Prosopis cineraria, 585 nucleotides. RefSeq lists it as uncharacterized. NCBI's taxonomy places the organism in Eukaryota, Viridiplantae, Streptophyta, Magnoliopsida, Fabales, Fabaceae. The transcript is spliced from 5 exons. The record is from RefSeq and is a predicted model, not a curated record.